CAAUUACGUUUGGUGGCGACCGGCGACACGGGUGAGUAACGUCGUAUGCAACCUACCUAUCGAGAGGGGAAUAACCCGGCGAAAGUCGGACUAAUACCGCAUAAAACAGGGGCACCGCAUGGUGAUAUUUGUUAAAGAAAUUCGCUGAUAGAUGGGCAUGCGUUCCAUUAGGUAGUUGGUGAGGUAACGGCUCACCAAGCCGACGAUGGAUAGGGGAACUGAGAGGUUGGUCCCCCACACUGGUACUGAGACACGGACCAGACUCCUACGGGAGGCAGCAGUGAGGAAUAUUGGUCAAUGGGCGGGAGCCUGAACCAGCCAAGUCGCGUGAAGGAAAGAAGGAUCUAUGGUUCGUAAACUUCUUUUGCAGGGGAAUAAAGUGCAGGACGUGUCCUGUUUUGUAUGUACCCUGAGAAUAAGGAUCGGCUAACUCCGUGCCAGCAGCUGC
This 448-nucleotide ribosomal RNA is filed under the name uncultured bacterium. Its description in RNAcentral is "bacterial SSU rRNA". It matches the Rfam family "Bacterial small subunit ribosomal RNA", at positions 75 to 518 of the family's 1533-position model. The record is from RNAcentral.